This 497-nucleotide ribosomal RNA is filed under the name uncultured bacterium. Its description in RNAcentral is "partial 16S ribosomal RNA". It matches the Rfam family "Bacterial small subunit ribosomal RNA", at positions 28 to 507 of the family's 1533-position model. The record is from RNAcentral.
GAUGAACGCUGGCGGCGUGCCUAAUACAUGCAAGUCGAGCGAACGGACGAGAAGCUUGCUUCUCUGAUGUUAGCGGCGGACGGGUGAGUAACACGUGGAUAACCUACCUAUAAGACUGGGAUAACUUCGGGAAACCGGAGCUAAUACCGGAUGAUAUUUUGAACCGCAUGGUUCAAAAGUGAAAGACGGUCUUGCUGUCACUUAUAGAUGGAUCCGCGCUGCAUUAGCUAGUUGGUAAGGUAACGGCUUACCAAGGCAACGAUGCAUAGCCGACCUGAGAGGGUGAUCGGCCACACUGGAACUGAGACACGGUCCAGACUCCUACGGGAGGCAGCAGUAGGGAAUCUUCCGCAAUAGGCGAAAGCCUGACGGAGCAACGCCGCGUGAGUGAUGAAGGUCUUCGGAUCGUAAAACUCUGUUAUUAGGGAAGAACAUAUGUGUAAGUAACUGUGCACAUCUUGACAGUACCUAAUCAGAAAGCCACGGCUAACUACGUG